UACGGAGGGUGCAAGCGUUAUCCGGAUUCACUGGGUUUAAAGGGUGCGUAGGCGGGCAGGUAAGUCAGUGGUGAAAUCUCCGAGCUUAACUCGGAACUGCCGUUGAUACUACUUGUCUUGAAUGAUUGUGGAGGUAAGCGGAAUAUGUCAUGUAGCGGUGAAAUGCUUAGAUAUGACAUAGAACACCAAUUGCGAAGGCAGCUUACUACACAAUGAUUGACGCUGAGGCACGAAAGCGUGGGGAUCAAACAGG
Molecule: ribosomal RNA, 253 nt
Filed under: uncultured bacterium
Lineage: Bacteria
Description: partial 16S ribosomal RNA
Rfam family: Bacterial small subunit ribosomal RNA
Source: RNAcentral